RNAcentral lists this ribosomal RNA (253 nucleotides) under uncultured bacterium. RNAcentral describes it as "partial 16S ribosomal RNA". It matches the Rfam family "Bacterial small subunit ribosomal RNA", at positions 524 to 776 of the family's 1533-position model. The record is from RNAcentral.
UACGUAGGGGGCAAGCGUUGUUCGGAUUUAUUGGGCGUAAAGAGCGUGUAGGCGGCCACACAGGUCAGCUGUGAAAACUCGAGGCUCAACCUCGAGACGUCGGUUGAAACCGUAUGGCUAGAGUCCGGAAGAGGAGAGUGGAAUUCCCGGUGUAGCGGUGAAAUGCGCAGAUAUCGGGAAGAACACCAAUAGCGAAGGCAGCUCGCUGGGACGUUACUGACACUGAGGCGCGAAAGCGUGGGGAGCGAACAGG